Panicum virgatum (switchgrass) is the source of this 580-nucleotide long non-coding RNA. RefSeq lists it as uncharacterized. NCBI's taxonomy places the organism in Eukaryota, Viridiplantae, Streptophyta, Magnoliopsida, Poales, Poaceae. The record is from RefSeq and is a predicted model, not a curated record. The transcript is spliced from 2 exons.
UCUGAAUCAACCGUCGUAUUCUUAUGCAUCUAGCAGCACUACAUCAAAAUUUCUGUUCGGUUCAAGACUUCUGGAGCUGAAAGCACGCAUGCACGCUCAAUAGCGCAAUGGACACAACCAUGCAUGAACUAAAUCAAAAAAGACUACGUCUCGCCUCUUCUUGUUGUUCAGUGGCUCAGCACCAGCUGUCCCUUUCCUCAUCAUCGCCACAAACUCUGAAUAAUCUAUCCUUCCAUCCUACAUGUGCAAAACUAAAUUUCAGUCUCUUGAUUUAAGAAAAUAAAAACAUAUGCAAUCAAUACAAGGAAACAUUGAAUUUCAUAGUAUUUGUUCCUUACAUUGUCAGAGUCGGCAUCUGAGAUGACCUCUUUGAUUUUAUCGGCAUCAUACAACCCUUGCUCCUUCAAGGCUUGCUCAAGUUCCUCUCUUGUAAUGUACCUGUGAGAUAACAAAAAAGCAAAUGUGUUUUAAUGUAUUGUAGUCCAAAAUUCAAGUAUGUUAGCUGUGUCGUUUUAACAUUCAACUUACCCGCUGUUGUCCUUGUCGAAAUACUGGAAUGCUGUGUAAAGGUGUUCCUCUC